CUUCACGGAGCCCAGCAACAGCGGACGCUCCGGAUCCCGGUCGCGCCCGUACGUGGCCAGCAGGGCCUGCGCCUC
Molecule: antisense RNA, 75 nt
Filed under: Streptomyces sp. CB00316
Lineage: Bacteria; Bacillati; Actinomycetota; Actinomycetes; Kitasatosporales; Streptomycetaceae
Also listed under: 2 other names
Description: ASpks sRNA
Rfam family: ASpks TB sRNA
Source: RNAcentral